GCGGCCCUUUCCGCCGUCUCGCAAGCGGGCGCUGGCUUAAGGAAAGGAUGUUCCGCGACCGUUAGAGCAAGCGCGUCUCAGCGCUUGCUAUCGCGGCAAUAUCGCCAGUGGUGCUGUCGUGAUGCGGUCUUCGCAUGGACCGCACAAUGAAGAUACGGUGCUUCUGUAUCGUACUUAUUGUUUCUGGUGCGCUGUUUCCCCAAGUAAAUAAUAACCGGAGUCUCUCCGGCGACAAUUUACUGGUGGUUAACAACCUUCAGAGCAGCAAGUAAGCCCGAAUGGGCCCCCCCCCUGGGGGGGGUUUUUUU
RNAcentral lists this small RNA (308 nucleotides) under Escherichia coli MS 115-1. RNAcentral's name for it is "ryfA RNA". It matches the Rfam family "ryfA RNA". From Rfam's summary of the family: This family consists of a number of bacterial RNA genes of 305 bases in length. The ryfA RNA gene is present in E. coli, Shigella flexneri and Salmonella species where it is found between the ydaN and dbpA genes. The record is from RNAcentral. Lineage: Bacteria; Pseudomonadati; Pseudomonadota; Gammaproteobacteria; Enterobacterales; Enterobacteriaceae.